Molecule: long non-coding RNA, 857 nt
Filed under: Mytilus galloprovincialis (Mediterranean mussel)
Lineage: Eukaryota; Metazoa; Mollusca; Bivalvia; Mytilida; Mytilidae
Source: RNAcentral
AUAUUUAACUAGAGGCUCUAAAGAGCCUGUGUCGCUCACCUUGGUAUAUGUGAAUUAAACAAAGGAAGCAGACAGUUCAUGACAAAAUUGUGCUUAGGUGAUUGUGAUGUGUUUGUACAUCUUACUUUACUGAACAUUCUUGCUGCUUACAAUUAUCUCUAUCUAUAAUGAACUUGUCCGUGUAGUUUCAGUGGAAAAUGUUAGUAAAAAUUUACAAAUUUUAUGAAUAUUGUUAAAAAUUGAUUAUAAAGGACAAUAACUUCUUAGGGGGUCAAUUGACCAUUUUGGUCAUUUUGACUUAUUUUUAAGUCUUAAAUUGCUGUACAUUAUUGCUGUUUACAGUUUAUCUCUGUCUAUAAUAAUAUUCAAGAUAAUAACUCAAAACAGCAAAAUUUCCUUAAAAUUACCAAUUUAGGGGCAGCAACCUAACAACGAGUUGUCCGAUUCAUCUAAAAAUUUCAGGGCAGAUAGAUCUUGACCAGAUAAACAAUUUUACCCCAUGUCAGAUUUGCUCUAAAUGCUUUGGUUUUGAGUAAUAACCAAAAACUGCAUUUAACCUCCAUGUUCUAUUUUUAGCCAUGGCGGCCAUCUUGGUUGGUUGGCCGGGUAAAAAAACACAAAUUUUUAACUAGAUACAUCAAUGAUGAUUGUGGUCAAGUUUGGUUUAAUUUGGCCCGGUAGUUUCAGAGGAGAAGAUUUUUGUAAAAGAUCAUGGAGAUUUACGAAAAUGGUUAAAAAUUGACUAUAAAGGACAAUAACUCCUAAAGGGGUCAACUGACCAUUUUGGUCAUGUUGACUUAUUUGUAAAUCUUACUUUGCUGAACAUUAUUGCUGUUUACAGUUUAUCUCCAUCUAUA